AGUUCCAGUUGGCUCUGCUCAGCUCUGUGCUCCUUAAGCAGCACUGUAGAGCCUUGUUGUUUAAGCUUCCGGUAUUUCAAGAAUUCACUUAUGCAUAUUUAUGUCUAACGAAAAUAGGAGCUUCCACCCCAAGAAUGUUGGAGGAGUACGGAAGACAUAAUGGGAUCCAGUCUGGAGCCCUGAAGAGCGUUCCCUGAAUACUGACUUAAGUGAGAUGGCAGUGUUUGAAGUUUGAUGAAGCCAUGGACCGAGCAUCUCGGGUGGGUAAGAACAACGUGGAGAAGAGUCAUGAGGAAGUGUAGGUUAUACAUCAAAGGUGCACGGAUCCUGACUUCACCUGAACAAACCACGGAAAGACCGGUGGCGCAUAAACCUGGAGAAGCUGGCAGGGACCAGAAUCUCCCUGAGGCCAGAGGCAUGAUCUAGAGACUGCAGUGUCAGGCAAAUUGAAGUCUCCUGAGAGGGUGGAGCUGGCCCCCUCUUCCCUGAGCUCUCAGUGGAAGAUCAGGAGGAUUUCCUUAAGUGGAUGCACCCGGCUUGCUUGCCCACCUUGAAGCCCUUAGUGAUGGCCUGAAGUUUUCAGCAGCAGCAGCAGAAGCAGCAGACUGGACUCCAGUCAGACAGCCUUUUAUCUCAGAGUAUCUUGUUGCUGGGGCACAGGGGCCUCGAGGGGAGGGAGGGGUAGAGUCGGAUGUCCGGCAUUCAGCACAGAGGAGCUCAUACCCAGCUCCUCACAGCCUGGGUCUCCAUUCACUGAGAGGAACACUCAACAAAGGCCACAUUCUUCUCCUGGCUUCCGCUUGCUUUCAGCCCACAUUUAUUUCCGAACAUGGUUACCCAGCCGGUCUGGCAUCCCACACUUAUGUGUGUCUGGGCAGACAACUAUGGAGACGUCAUCCUGGAUGAUCAUGGCCCCCAAACAAGGAUGGAGUCUACUGCAACUGAAUCUCAAGUACCCUCAAGGCUCUGUGUCUGGAGACCUCCCUGCAGUGUGAACGUUCCCCUGGUUAGGUCAGUGAGGAAGCUUUGCAACAACACUCUGCUGUUCUCACAUUGGGAGAUGACAGGACAGAGAGAGCCUCCGCCCUGGAUUCCUCUACCCAGAUGUAACGGGUUUAGGGUCACCAUGACAACACACCUCUAGUUGUGUCUGUGAGGGUACUUCUAGAGAGGUUUAGCUGAGGACAGGAGACCUCUGGAUGUGCAUCACACUGCCCUAGGGUCUGGGCCCCAGAAUGGACAAAAGGAGAUGAGCAGAACAUUCUCUUCUUCCUAGCUGUGAACACAGUGUGGCCAGUCAGUCACCGCCCACCCUGGUGUUGACACCAGAACUUCCCUGGUAUGAUGGGCUCACCCUCAGACUGUACACUGAAGUAGGCCUUUCCUUCCUUCUGCUCACGUGUUAGUUAUUUGGCCAAAACAGUAGGACAAAUGACUGGCACAGAGUUUGAAAAGCCCGUGCUGGAGCUGCCACCCAGGGAUCAUGAUAGGGAGGCAGAGCAGGUGUGACUCUGACCUGCUGGGUAGUUGGACAUGCGCCUUAGCAACUGUCAGACUCGCAGUGACCAGUGGUAAGAGCAGAAGAUGCCCACAGUUUGGAGAUUUGGGUGAGAAUUCACCGAGGGCAUGGUCUGUGUGAGAGAGUACGGUGCAGGCCCUGGAUCUGGUCUUGUAGUGGGACCUCUCGCCCUCCCCUCUUGGAGCUGCCUUGCCUCCAUGUAAGCUUUCAACUUUCUCCUGAAGUGUUCACUCACGACCUUUCAUGUAAUUUCUCUCCCCUAACGCCCAUCCACAGCUUCGAGGGUGGUGUCUCCAUGGGGAUAAAUGAAUGAGGUGUUUUAAUUGUUCUUUCCUUGUGUUUAAAAACAAAACUACCAAUGAUCUUAUCAACUUGGUGUGGGAAGGUGUGUAAGCAGAAAACGGUCAUUGUCAGCUCACCAGUACACCAUGCCCACAAGCUUGGCAUUCACAUUGGUGAGGCAGAAGCCAGAGAACUGUCGUGGGGUCUAGCCUGGGAUCUAUAGUGAGUGCCGAGGUUGUAUGGGCUAAAAUGAGUCACUGUCUUUAAACAAACAAACAAGCAAAAACAAAUAAACAAGCAAACAUAAAAGCAGA
Non-coding RNA from Rattus norvegicus (Norway rat), 2115 nucleotides. The record is from RefSeq and is a predicted model, not a curated record. NCBI's taxonomy places the organism in Eukaryota, Metazoa, Chordata, Mammalia, Rodentia, Muridae.